Molecule: small RNA, 191 nt
Filed under: Arabidopsis thaliana (thale cress)
Lineage: Eukaryota; Viridiplantae; Streptophyta; Magnoliopsida; Brassicales; Brassicaceae
Description: ATSL195530
Source: RNAcentral
UGUUGUUUUGUUUUUGUUUUUUUUCCGCCCGAUUUUAAUUAGAGUUCAAACGAAGCAAAAAUGAGAAAUGUUGUUUACAUAAGUGAUAUAAAUCGGUUCAAUGCGAAUAUUUCGCGCCAAAUUAUCCGCUUUUACAUUUGCAUUACGAAAAAUGUUCUUUUGGUCUUUUAAAUUCGUUUUUGGUCUUUAAA